This 75-nucleotide transfer RNA is filed under the name Candidatus Kaiserbacteria bacterium RIFCSPHIGHO2_01_FULL_49_13. Its description in RNAcentral is "tRNA-His". It matches the Rfam family "tRNA". Rfam says of the family: Transfer RNA (tRNA) molecules are approximately 80 nucleotides in length. Their secondary structure includes four short double-helical elements and three loops (D, anti-codon, and T loops). The record is from RNAcentral. Lineage: Bacteria; Candidatus Kaiseribacteriota.
GUGGUCGUAGCUCAAUUGGUAGAGUCCCAGCUUGUGGAGCUGGUUGUUACGGGUUCGAGCCCCGUCGACCACCCA